Small nucleolar RNA from Juglans regia (Persian walnut), 94 nucleotides. RefSeq annotates it as small nucleolar RNA R24. The record is from RefSeq and is a predicted model, not a curated record. Lineage: Eukaryota; Viridiplantae; Streptophyta; Magnoliopsida; Fagales; Juglandaceae. The transcript has a single exon.
UCUGUCGUGAUGAGCCAUUAACAUGUAAGAAGAAAUCGUAUGAUAUGGUUUUGAUCUCGAUGAAAUGUGUUUGUUACGCUUGGCUUUGAGCUUC